CACCUAAAUUUAGGCUCUAAAAUUCUUUACCAACAAGCUCAUUUGUAGGUUCCCAUACCAACACCAGUCUCACCGCCACCAUAAGGUUGGAAUCUUUCCCUGGCACUUGAGUAGUUGACAUAGUAGAAUUCAGAAACAAUGGCAGUGAAGAAAACAAAAGCAGCACCAGCAGCAAACACUCCCUUCCGAACUGUUUCGCAAGAUAGCUCUUUGUUCGCAAAGAUGUUAUGCCUGUACUUGGUGUGGUAAGCAUUUUCC
RNAcentral lists this long non-coding RNA (258 nucleotides) under Vigna radiata. Its description in RNAcentral is "long non-coding RNA (VRAD_LNC005187)". Lineage: Eukaryota; Viridiplantae; Streptophyta; Magnoliopsida; Fabales; Fabaceae. The record is from RNAcentral.